AGCAGUAGCCACAGGAAUACGUAGGGUGCGGGCGCUAAUCGGAAUUACUGGGCGUAAAGCGUGCGCAGGCGGUUAUAUAAGACAGAUGUGAAAUCCCCGGGCUCAACCUGGGAACUGCAUUUGAGACUGUAUGGCUAGAGUGUGUCAGAGGGGGGUAAAAUUCCACGUGUAGCAGUGAAAUGCGUAGAUAUGCGGAGGAACACCGAUGGCGAAGGCAGCCCCCUGGGAUAACACUGACGCUCAUGCACGGAAGCGUGGGGAGCAAACAGGAUUAGAUACCCCAGUAGUCCCUGUCUCUUAUAA
This 303-nucleotide ribosomal RNA is filed under the name uncultured bacterium. RNAcentral describes it as "partial 16S ribosomal RNA". It matches the Rfam family "Bacterial small subunit ribosomal RNA", at positions 507 to 809 of the family's 1533-position model. The record is from RNAcentral.